This 65-nucleotide transfer RNA is filed under the name Macromia amphigena. Its description in RNAcentral is "tRNA-His". Lineage: Eukaryota; Metazoa; Arthropoda; Insecta; Odonata; Macromiidae. The record is from RNAcentral.
AUUUAAGUAGUUUAAUAUAAAAUUUCGAUUUGUGGUGUCGAGGAUAUAAAUUGUUAUCUUAAAUC